GACGAACGCUGGCGGCGUGCUUAACACAUGCAAGUCGAGCGAGGCCCCUCCUUCGGGAGGGUGUCCUAGCGGCGAACGGGUGAGUAACACGUGGGCAACCUGCCCCCGGCUCUGGGAUAACUCCAAGAAAUUGGGGCUAAUACCGGAUAUGACCGCUGACCGCAUGGUCUGGUGGUGGAAAGAUUUAUCGGCUGGGGAUGGGCCCGCGGCCUAUCAGCUUGGUGGUGGGGUAGUGGCCUACCAAGGCGACGACGGGUAGCCGGCCUGAGAGGGUGACCGGCCACACUGGGACUGAGACACGGCCCAGACUCCUACGGGAGGCAGCAGUGGGGAAUAUUGCGCAAUGGGCGGAAGCCUGACGCAGCGACGCCGCGUGGGGGAUGACGGCCUUCGGGUUGUAAACCUCUUUCAGCAGGGACGAAGCGAAAGUGACGGUACCUGCAGAAGAAGCACCGGCCAACUACGUGCCAGCAGCCGCAGUAA
RNAcentral lists this ribosomal RNA (483 nucleotides) under uncultured bacterium. RNAcentral's name for it is "partial 16S ribosomal RNA". It matches the Rfam family "Bacterial small subunit ribosomal RNA", at positions 28 to 523 of the family's 1533-position model. The record is from RNAcentral.